AUGCAGCAGCGGCAUCAGGUCGCGACACUGCCUCACCCCAAUUCCACCAGCGACUGCAGCUGCCACUGCCGUUUCUCGUUCCACGCCAUCGGUCACGGGGUGCUGGAGCCUAUCCCAGCUGACUUCGGGCGAAAGGCGGACUACACCCUGAACCGGUCGCCAGUCAGUCGCAGGGCACAUAUAGACAUGGACAACCGUUCGCACUCACAUUCACACCGUCACUGAGUGGCAACUGAACCCACGCUGCCCGCACCAAAGUCAGGCGAGUGUACCACUACAGAUUUAAGAAAAAUAGCAACAACAAAAACUUAAGCGAAAUUAUCAUCUCUCUCAACAAGCUCUCUUGUGACUCUUGGAAAUGCAUGCAGCGAGGUCAGCUCGUGAAAGCUAUCCCCGCGAGGACGUCAGGACUUGCGGUUCAAAUUACUCAUGAGUACGUUCACUGCGUAGUACGUCGUUCCUUGCGCAAACGAAUCACUCAUUGUACAAGUACAUCGCUCCUUAGCGGAUCACAAACGAAGAAAGCUCAACGAACGAAUCGCGAACGAUGAGUUCACGAACGAAUCACUCUUCAGUUCCUCAGUACACCAAUUCACCGAACGAAUCACUCAGUUCACUUAGGUCCCUCCCCCGCCCGCACGGCGCUGCCUGACGCUGGCUGCUCAUUGGUCAUUCGCCGCAGUGAGUGACAACGCUGGAGAAUCGCCAAUCACAUGGCAGUACGUUUAUUGAAGUCCCGCCCCCGCAGCAGAACGGAAGAUGAAUGCAUUUGUUCGUUUGUGAGUGUUUGAGUUAUUGCGUCAACUUCUGCCUCGACCCUUGAGGCAGCUCCGGCAUAUUCUGGAGCAGCUCGAGCGUCCUACGUGUUUAUCAAUGAUAAACAGCUAUUUUAGAGGAUUUCGACCGAUCUUUCAAGGCACACAGAAUAUUGUGUUCUAUGGCUAUAUAAACAUGGCGCCCACCAAAAGAAAGAUUAGACUUCCAUCUUUCAAACAAAAAAAGAGUUUGUUUCUACUUUUUUUCGCCCGUUCUUUAGUAAUUAGCGGUAGAACAUAGGUAAGCUAUACCAAAAUUCUAAGUUGUAUGAUGCACUGCUGCCAUCUAGUGUCCGUUCCUAUGGGCAUUAAAAUUGCUCUCAGGCCUAAUCCUAUGGUGAGUGACGUCAGCCCCCUCUGAAGCCUAUGACGCAAAAAAACGUAAAACUACGUCUUUGGGAUUAGGUUAUCAAGUUUUAAAAGACGUAAAACUACGUUUUUUUGGUCUUAAAUGGGUUCUGCCAUUUUUCAGAAAUUGGGACCCAGCCAUUUUUGACAAUUUGGACUGAUUUUUGAAGGCCUACAGACAAUUGUGUUCUAUAGCUAUAGAACAAUGGAACCCACCAAAAGAAAGAUUUAACCCUCUUCUUUCAUCAGGAGAAAAAGUACAUUUCUACCUUUUACCGUUCUUUAGUAAACAGCAGUUGAACAUAGGUAAGUUUCUUGAACAUACCUGUUUGGUGAAACAAAAACAUUCACUUUGAUGCAAAUUUAUUUUGCUUUUAUGAUAGCUCAAAUAGCUAAAUAAUAUUUUCCAUUAUAUAACAACAUAAACGACCCAAAAAAGUGUAUUUUGUCAUGUGUGUGUGUUCCGGGUUUUAUCUUCCCCCCUGUUUCAUACAAACACCUGCUCCUGUGAGCAUCUUCACCACCUGUGCCUCGUUCACCCUAAUUACCUAUUGCAUUUAACCUCGUGUCUCAUUCCCUCUCGUCGCCGGUUCGCUGUACCUUGUCGUCGCGUUCCAGCAUUCCUUGUUUCCACGUCACAGACUCCCAGUAAGACUCGACCCUGUUCCGAUGAUCGACCUCGCCUCUUUGCCUCGUGUUUUUGGAUCCUGUUGCCUUUCUUGGAUCGCCUGCCUGUGUACCGACCUAUGCCCGUCUAUUAAACCUCUCUUUUUGGAAACUG
This is a long non-coding RNA of Phyllopteryx taeniolatus (common seadragon), 1944 nucleotides long. RefSeq lists it as uncharacterized. The record is from RefSeq and is a predicted model, not a curated record. NCBI's taxonomy places the organism in Eukaryota, Metazoa, Chordata, Actinopteri, Syngnathiformes, Syngnathidae. The transcript is spliced from 2 exons.